AACGCUGGCGGCAGGCCUCAUACAUGCAAGUCGAACGAGAAAGUAUCUUCGGAUACGAGUACAGUGGCGGACGGGUGAGUAAUACAUAGGAAUCUACCCAAUGGAGGGGGAUAGCUCGAGGAAACUCGAAUUAAUACCGCAUAAUCUCCACGGAGUAAAGAGGGCUUCGGCUCUCGCCAUCGGAUGAGCCUAUGCAGGAUUAGCUUGUUGGUGAGGUAAAGGCUUACCAAGGCGACGAUCCUUAGCUGGUUUGAGAGGAUGACCAGCCACAUCGGGACUGAGACACGGCCCGGACUUCUACGGAAGGCAGCAGUAGGGAAUAUUGGACAAUGAGCGAAAGCUUGAUCCAGCCAUGCCGCGUGUGCGAUGACGGCCCUCGGGUUGUAAAGCACUUUAGGUAACGAGGAAAAGUUAGGUGUUAAUACCAUCUAACCUUGACGUUAAUUACAGAAUAAGCACCGGCUAAAUCCGUGCCAGCAGCCGCGGUAAUACGGAUGGUGCAAGCGUUAAUCGGAAUUACUGCGCGUAAAGCGCGCGUA
This 539-nucleotide ribosomal RNA is filed under the name uncultured bacterium. Its description in RNAcentral is "bacterial SSU rRNA". It matches the Rfam family "Bacterial small subunit ribosomal RNA", at positions 32 to 573 of the family's 1533-position model. The record is from RNAcentral.